This 342-nucleotide long non-coding RNA is filed under the name Elaeis guineensis (African oil palm). RNAcentral's name for it is "long non-coding RNA (EGUI_LNC046136)". The record is from RNAcentral. Lineage: Eukaryota; Viridiplantae; Streptophyta; Magnoliopsida; Arecales; Arecaceae.
CCAAGGAUGACCCCUCAUCCGGGAUAGUGCACUCUAUGAGGAAGUCGGCCAAAUCCUGAGCUUUUAUUGUAGGUUAAAGCCAAAAAUUGAUGUUUAAUUCUUCGAGCUUGAUUAUCCAUUUGGCCAUGCACCUGGAGGUGUCUGUCUUUUGGAGAAUCACCUUCAAAUAUUGAUUAGUUAAGACGACCACCGAGUGGGCUUGAAAAAAAAAGUCGAAAAUGAUAUGCAGAAGUGAUUAGUGCAUGCAUAAAUCAUCUUCUCGAUCUUAGAGUAUCUAGUUUCUACAUCCUCAAGAAUCUUGCUUGUUUAGUAGAUUGGCUUCUUGAUCCCUGGAUCUUCUUA